This 1378-nucleotide ribosomal RNA is filed under the name uncultured bacterium. RNAcentral's name for it is "partial 16S ribosomal RNA". It matches the Rfam family "Bacterial small subunit ribosomal RNA". The record is from RNAcentral.
AGAGUUUGAUCCUGGCUCAGGACGAACGCUGGCGGCGUGCCUAACACAUGCAAGUCGAACGGAGUCAUGUUGGAAGCUUGCUUUUGAUAUGACUUAGUGGCGGACUGGUGAGUAACGCGUGAGCAAUCUGCCUUCAAGAGUGGGAUAACAUACUGAAAAGUGUGCUAAUACCGCAUAAAGUAUACUUAUGGCAUCAUAGGAAUACCAAAGGUUAAAUCCGCUUGAAGAUGAGCUCGCGUCUGAUUAGGUAGUUGGUGAGGUAACGGCCCACCAAGCCUACGAUCAGUAGCCGAACUGAGAGGUUGAUCGGCCACAUUGGGACUGAGAUACGGCCCAGACUCCUACGGGAGGCAGCAGUGGGGGAUAUUGCACAAUGGAGGAAACUCUGAUGCAGCAACGCCGCGUGAAGGAAGAAGGCCUUCGGGUUGUAAACUUCUGUCCUUGGUGACGAUAAUGACGGUAGCCAAGGAGGAAGCCACGGCUAACUACGUGCCAGCAGCCGCGGUAAUACGUAGGUGGCAAGCGUUGUCCGGAAUUACUGGGUGUAAAGGGUGCGUAGGCGGCUCAUAAAGUCAGAUGUGAAAUACCGAGGCUCAACCUCGGAGCUGCAUUUGAAACUUAUGGGCUUGAGUGAAGUAGAGGUAAGCGGAAUUCGUAGUGUAGCGGUGAAAUGCUUAGAUAUGACGAAGAACUCCGAUUGCGAAGGCAGCUGGCUGUAGCGCAACUGACGCUGAAGCUCGAAAGUGUGGGUAUCGAACAGGAUUAGAUACCCUGGUAGUCCACACGGUAAACGAUGGAUGCUCGCUGUGUGCCUUCGGGUACGUGGCCAAGGGAAACCAUUAAGCAUCCCACCUGGGGAGUACGCCGGCAACGGUGAAACUCAAAGGAAUUGACGGGGGCCCGCACAAGCGGAGGAACAUGUGGUUUAAUUCGAUGAUACGCGAGGAACCUUACCCGGGCUUGAACUGCAGAGGAAUGCGGUAGAGAUGCCAAAGCCCUUCGGGGUCUCUGUGGAGGUGCUGCAUGGUUGUCGUCAGCUCGUGCCGUGAGGUGUCGGCUUAAGUGCCAUAACGAGCGCAACCCCUUUCGCUAGUUGCCAUCAGGUGAUGCUGGGCACUCUGGCGAUACUGCCACCGUAAGGUGUGAGGAAGGUGGGGAUGACGUCAAAUCAGCACGGCCCUUACGUCCGGGGCUACACACGUGUUACAAUGGCGCAUACAGAGAGUCGGUUGGUGGUAACAUUGAUCUAAUCCUUAAAAUGCGUCGUAGUUCGGAUUGGGGUCUGCAACCCGACCCCAUGAAGCUGGAUUCGCUAGUAAUCGCGCAUCAGCCAUGGCGCGGUGAAUACGUUCCCGGGCCUUGCACACACCGCCCGUCA